This 468-nucleotide ribosomal RNA is filed under the name uncultured bacterium. RNAcentral describes it as "partial 16S ribosomal RNA". It matches the Rfam family "Bacterial small subunit ribosomal RNA", at positions 28 to 507 of the family's 1533-position model. The record is from RNAcentral.
GACGAACGCUGGCGGCGUGCUUAACACAUGCAAGUCGAACGGAAAGGCCCUGCUUUUGUGGGGUGCUCGAGUGGCGAACGGGUGAGUAACACGUGAGUAACCUGCCCCUGACUUUGGGAUAACUUCAGGAAACUGGGGCUAAUACCGGAUAGGAGCUCCUGCUGCAUGGUGUGGGUUGGAAAGUUUCGGCGGUUGGGGAUGGACUCGCGGCUUAUCAGCUUGUUGGUGAGGUAGUGGCUUACCAAGGCUUUGACGGGUAGCCGGCCUGAGAGGGUGACCGGCCACAUUGGGACUGAGAUACGGCCCAGAAUCCUACGGGAGGCAGCAGUGGGGAAUAUUGCACAGUGGGCGGAAGCCUGAUGCAGCGACGCCGCGUGCGGGAUGACGGCCUUCGGGUUGUAAACCGCUUUCGCCUGUGACGAAGCGUGAGUGACGGUAAUGGGUAAAGAAGCACCGGCUAACUACGUG